RNAcentral lists this ribosomal RNA (496 nucleotides) under Scheffersomyces shehatae. RNAcentral describes it as "eukaryotic LSU rRNA". It matches the Rfam family "Eukaryotic large subunit ribosomal RNA", at positions 128 to 642 of the family's 3401-position model. Lineage: Eukaryota; Fungi; Ascomycota; Pichiomycetes; Serinales; Debaryomycetaceae. The record is from RNAcentral.
CCUUCGGUGUCCGAGUUGUAAUUUGAAGAAGGUAACUUUGGAGUUGGCUCUUGUCUAUGUUCCUUGGAACAGGACGUCACAGAGGGUGAGAAUCCCGUGCGAUGAGAUGUCCAACUCUAUGUAAAGUGCUUUCGAAGAGUCGAGUUGUUUGGGAAUGCAGCUCUAAGUGGGUGGUAAAUUCCAUCUAAAGCUAAAUAUUGGCGAGAGACCGAUAGCGAACAAGUACAGUGAUGGAAAGAUGAAAAGAACUUUGAAAAGAGAGUGAAAAAGUACGUGAAAUUGUUGAAAGGGAAGGGUUUGAGAUCAGACUUGGUAUUUUGUAUGUCUUGCUUUCGGGUGGGGCCUCUGCAGUUUACUGGGCCAGCAUCGGUUUGGACGGUAGGAUAAUGACAUUGGAAUGUGGCACUACUUCGGUGGUGUGUUAUAGACUUUGUUGAUACUGCCUGUCUAGACCGAGGACUGCGUCUUUGACUAGGAUGCUGGCAUAAUGAUCCUA